RNAcentral lists this ribosomal RNA (647 nucleotides) under Alishewanella sp. INBio3016F. RNAcentral's name for it is "bacterial SSU rRNA". It matches the Rfam family "Bacterial small subunit ribosomal RNA", at positions 98 to 733 of the family's 1533-position model. Lineage: Bacteria; Pseudomonadati; Pseudomonadota; Gammaproteobacteria; Alteromonadales; Alteromonadaceae. The record is from RNAcentral.
GCGGACGGGUGAGUAAUGCGUAGGAAUCUGCCUGAUAGAGGGGGAUAACCACGGGAAACUGUCGCUAAUACCGCAUCAAGUCUUACGGACGAAAGCAUGGGACCUUAAGGCCUCCCGCUAUCAGAUGCACCUAGGUGGGAUUAGCUAGUUGGUGGGGUAAAGGCUCACCAAGGCGACGAUCCGUAGCUGGUUUGAGAGGAUGAUCAGCCACACUGGAACUGAGACACGGUCCAGACUCCUACGGGAGGCAGCAGUGGGGAAUAUUGGACAAUGGGCGCAAGCCUGAUCCAGCCAUGCCGCGUGUGUGAAGAAGGCCUUAGGGUUGUAAAGCACUUUCAGCGGGGAGGAAGGGGUGUAGGUUAAUACCAUGCAUUUUUGACGUUACCCACAGAAUCAGCACCGGCUAACUUCGUGCCAGCAGCCGCGGUAAUACGAAGGGUGCAAGCGUUAAUCGGAAUUACUGGGCGUAAAGCGCGCGCAGGUGGUUUUUUAAGUCGGAUGUGAAAGCCCCGGGCUCAACCUGGGAAUUGCAUCCUGAUACUGGAAAGCUAGAGUAUGUUAGAGGGGGGUAGGAAUUCCAAGUGUAGCGGUGAAAUGCGUAGAGAUUUGGAAGGAAUCAUCCCAGUGGCGAAAGGCGGCCCCCCCUG